AAGCAGGGAUAAAGAGACAGGACGGAAAUUAUUAAAAACAGUAGUGUCCUCAAUAGCCAGUGAGAAAUCUUUGAUAGAGUGCAAAAUAUUUGCCUAAUGCUGUCAAUUUUGUUUAGAAAGAAGUCCUUAAACUGCUCACAGCUGAUUUAGGUGGAAUUUAUAGUAAGGCAAGCAGCUCUAGUCACCAUCCCCGAGGAUGGUGACUGAAGCAGGAACAGAAGCAGCAGCUGGAGCAGCAUCAGCAGGCGGAGUAGAGGCUAUGGCCAGAGAGGUAGCAGUGUCAGCAGGAUGGGGACCAGUGACAACCAGCUCUUCAGCACUGGUGGCAGUAGCUUUUGCAGGGCUGAAGAUGAUAGUGUCGAGAUGAUAGAACAUGGAAAUUCUUGGCUCCAACUCAAUGAUCUUCUCGCUGAGACAGAUGCAGCUCUUGCAGCCAGAUGUUGAGGUGAACAUGGCUCUGAACAAGAAAGGGAAAGGAUGGAGGAGGAGGAAGCAGGAACCAGCACAGAGAUGAACCUGAGUCAGACAGGGAAAGUUUUGAGGAAGUCUUUUCAGGGACCUCUAUGGUGAUAUGUGUGACGACCAGCCAGUGCCACUAAACAAUAGUGUUUAAAAGUAAUUGAAGCGCAGAUAUGUUUUCCAUAUAAUAUACCGUGUAAUACACUUUAUAUUUUUACACUUAAUUUUUAUUAUAGUUAU
Molecule: long non-coding RNA, 699 nt
Organism: Thunnus maccoyii (southern bluefin tuna)
Lineage: Eukaryota; Metazoa; Chordata; Actinopteri; Scombriformes; Scombridae
Exons: 3
Source: RefSeq, a predicted model, not a curated record